This 6214-nucleotide long non-coding RNA is filed under the name Nicotiana tabacum (common tobacco). RNAcentral describes it as "long non-coding RNA (NTAB_LNC003538)". The record is from RNAcentral. Lineage: Eukaryota; Viridiplantae; Streptophyta; Magnoliopsida; Solanales; Solanaceae.
CAAACGUCCGCCCUAGAAUCCCUCAUCCUCUCCGUCUCUCUGAGACCUAAACCUAACCCUAACCAUCGCCACCUAAAACCAGCCCUAAUCCCUCCAAUUCUCACUCGAUCCAUGGAUUUCCAUGGGUGUUUGAGACCCCUACGAGCUUCCUGCUUCCCUUGGUUGCUCGAUUUUAUGAUUUCAUGGAAGAAUCUCGAAGAGAUCUAACCAGAUCUAGUUCAAGACUCUCUGAGAGUCCGUCUAGGAUUGUGAGUGUUACUAUUCUGAUACUUUUACGGUUCAAAUCUCUUAUUUAAGACUGGAUUCUCUUUACCCUUUCACUCUUUCUUCAAAACCCUCACUUCAAACACGAAUCCAUCCAGAUCUUUGUAGAUCUGGAAAGUUUCGGAGUUCUUUUUCUUUAAGAGUUUCUUGUUUCUUCACUAUUAGUCGAUUUCUGGCACUAUGUUAUCUUAAUUUUGAUCUCUUUAUUAUCUGAUGCUCGAUCCUCUGCAUGUUUGAAGUGUUUUUAAAUUCCCAUGGUUGUUCUGUAAGGUUCUUUUACUUUUCUACUACUAACCGAUUUUUAGCACUACGCUACUUUAGGUUUUUAAUUUCUCUGAUUUCUGUUGUUCGAAUCUCUGUAUGUUUGAAGUGCUUUCUGUUUCCAUGGCUAUUUCUUUAAAGUUCUCCUAAUCUUCGUGCUACUAAUCAACCCUAAAUAUCUUUCUAAUUAUUUGGGGUUUCCACUUCCGUUUUUACAAAAGGUUUUCUAAAGUUUUAUGUUUCGUUUAAUCUUUCUCGCAUGGUUAUGUUCCUGAUCCAAAUGUUUGACUAUUCAGUGUUUGAUUUCAACCUCUUGUCCGUUAUUGUUUGAAUAAUUGAUUGAUUACCUAAUUAUCUUGGGUUUCCUUUGUUUACUAAACUAAUUUACUGAUCUCUGAUUGUUUUCCUUAAUCCUGAGUUCUUAAUUGACAUCUUUUAUCUAUCUAUGGGUUGAUUGACCCUUUGAUUGGUCUCUGAUUACCCGUGUUGCCUCAUUUGUGAAACUGAUUACUUGAUUUAAGGGUUCUAACCCUAAUUGACUGUUAAACCUACUUCUUGCCUUAUUUGAAAUUCAAUUAGAGCUAUUUAUGGUAUAAUUCCCUAAUUUCCUACCCCAAUCAAGCUUGGUUGAUUAUUUCCUUACCUUAUUUUUGCAAUGUCAAUUUGCCUUGCCUUACUUACCUAUACUAUUCAACUACUACUAUAUAUAUAUAUAUAUAUAUAUAUAUAUAUAUAUAUAUAUGCAUUCUCAUUCUACUUUAGACACGAACAAUAGUUCACACACACACACAAAACUUUCCUCUCAUCUCUCUGCUGCUUGUGAUCACUGCUAAACUAGCCGGUUGAAAGCCAAGGUUUGGCUGUUGAAUCCUGCUUACUUUACCUUCUGUUUUUGCUUCCUUAACUGGUAUGCCUCUACCAUUUUCAUUCAAUUAAAAUGUGUAUUUAUCAGCAUGCUACUUCUGUUUAAAUUUUGUAUGUUUAUCAGCAUGUUACUUCGGUUGAAUUUGUUUGUUUAUUAGCAUGUUACUUCUGUUCAAUCCAUGUGUUUGUUAGCAUGACUACUUCUGUCCAAUCUAUGAGGCUACUUUUGCUCAAAACUAUGUAGUCAAUAUCAUAUCUAACUAUGUCUUUCCUAGCAUGUCUAUUAAUAUUCAACCUAUGUGUUUAUGUCUACUCCUGUCCAAUACAUGUGUUUACUACAAUAGCAUGUUGACUUUUGUUUUUAGUUAGAACUAGGUGUUCUGCCUUCAGCAAGUUUGCAUGUUUACUUAUGUCUAAAAUUAGAUCUAUCUCUUGUCUACUUCCCUACUAGCAUGAUCUCCUAUCUGGAUACCCUGCUCCCCAAUCCCUAUUACCCUUUACAAGUGGAUGAUUGAUCCACAUUACUUCUGUGUUUGGUUACUUAGUAACAGCUGAUAGGCUUAAGUAAUCCUAUUUCUGAAUGAUGUUUGUUUGGCUGGAACCUUUGCCUAAGUUCCAGGAACUGAAUGACUCUGUUUACUUCUGAUUUUCCUGAAAGUCUAAAAAUGUUUCUCAAAACUACUCUUGUAAAGCACUAUCCACUUAAAUUCCUAGAACACUUAGGCUCUUGCCCCUCCAGUGUGACUUUGGAGUCCACGAGGCUCCUCUGAACCUUGACACACUGGGGUUGGCUACUCCACACUGCACAAGUUGAUGAUUUUUUAAGAGGACCUUGGUGUGAGCACUGCCCUGGGUCCCUGAGACCCUUGGGAACUUUGACACAUCAAUGUAACCCUUUUGCACUAUGAGUUAUGGCAUUUAAGACUAUUUGAAGGCCUGGUUCCCAUGGUUUUGCUUUGGGCCUAUCCAGGCUCCCUAUAGUUUACUGUUAUCAUUCCUGUAAUUCAUUUUUACACUUGGUUUGUAAUAUUAAUUACUUUGUAAAUAGAUAUUGGGGAAAUUAGUAAACAGGAAAGGAUUAUUAUACACAUUUUGUUGGGAAUGGGUAGAUGUCAUGCCUAUAGGAAUUAAAAUCAGUAUUUACAUCCUAGAAGCCAUGCCUAUAGAACAUUGCAAUGUUCAUCACUUGUGUGCAUUCUAAAUAUCAUGACUAUAGGGUUCAAAUCCACUUUUGCAAUCAGAAAUCAUAUUGUUGUGUUGUUUGACUAUUUGCAUGCAUUCUAGAUACCAUGCAUAUAGGUUAAAAAUCAGUCUUGCACGUUUAGAUAUCAUGCAUAUAAGCUAAAAAUUAGUCUUGCACGUUUAGAUAUCAUGCCUGUAGACAUGUGAUUUUUGACCCUCCCCGAAAUUUUACCCAUUUUAGCGUAAAAUAUUUAGUUUAGGCCUAAUAUCGAUAUUUCAAUUAGUUUUGACUCUUUUACUUUAUUUUAUAAAAAAAAAUGAAAAUUACAAAAAUAUUUCCUCUUUUUAGUUGCUUUUAGUUUAUUACUUUUCGCAAAACUAAAAAAAAAUACAAAAAUAGUACGAUAUUUGAAAAUACCAAAAAAUAGGUUUGUUUUAACGGUUAGUAUUAUCUUAAUAGUUAUUUUACUUAAAUAGGAUUAAUUAGUAAAUAAGACCGUAUUUUAGUGUCGUUCACGGAGAAAGAAUAAAAUUUGGGCUCAAACAACCCAUUUUUAAGCUUAAUUUUCGGACCUAUCCCAUAAUUUCCAAGCCCAUAAUUCCUAAGCCCAUACCCCUUAACCUAAAAAACCCUACAAAAACAUAGACCUAGACCCUAGAGACCUAGGGAGAUAUUUUUGUUUCGCCGUUUUCAUCAGUAAACCCCCCCCCAGCGAGCUUCUUCUUCACAGACCUUAGAAGACCCCUUCUUCUCCAUAGAAACAACCCUAGAACACCACCCUUUUCAGCAACGAUCCUUAGACCCUUAGGACCUUUUUCCGCCGCAGAACACCUAAAAAAUCAGAACCCCACCUGAACUCUUUCUUCUUCGACAAAACAAAACCAACAAAAGCUCCAUUCCCAGCCGUUUCCAUGGAGUCUGAGCUUCAUAAAUGGACGCACACACAGAUAUAAAUGGACGAAUUUUUGGGGUUUGGAAAAAGAGACAUAACACAUAGCGUAAAGGACAGUAACGAAGUGAAAUGAAAGGCGAGAGUUCCGAGUUCUGGUGUAAUUCGAGUUUUUCGGCGAGUUUCAUGUUCGUCGAAGGUCGUAGUCUGAGGUUUUCGGGCAGAUUCGCGGUUCGUCAAAGUCUUGUUCGCGUCUCUGAUUUCCGAUGUGGUGAUCAGAUUUUAGUUUUUUUCUAACUAGAUAGUCAUUGCAAUUGUGUAAAAUUUGGCUGGAAUUUUUCUUUGUUAAUGCAUUGAGGAUGGUAUCUACCAGUGACGGUUCAAACGAAAGAGUUCUGCAUUUGUUCUCAUUUUUAGAUUUUAAGAUUUUUCAAUUUUCUUUUAAACUCAAGAAAAUUGCAAAAAUAUAAAUAUUAAAAAAGAUUGCUGAUACUUCAUUCUUAGUGGUCGGAUUCCGAUUUCUAACUCAUGGGGGUUAGCCUGAUUUUGCGGUUCCGGGUCUGAAUGGCUACUAUUUUCUUGACUGAGUUUUGGAUUUGAAGCCUCGUAUCUAUUGGGUUGCUUAAAUAUUCAAAGAAAUCUACUCAUUGAGGUCUCUCUCUAAAUCUGUUUGCAUUUCAAUUCCUCGAUUUGCUUCUCUCGAUGUUAUAUGAGAUCGUUGCUCGAUUGCCUAUUGCUUUUAGUUUUUGUGAUUGAAAUUGGCUCUGCUUCAUGAAUAAGGUAGGGAACAUAAUUCCCAGAUUUCAAAAAGUAGCGUUUGUGCUCAAUAAGUGUUAAAUUUUGUUCUUUCUUGUAUAAUUUAUUCAAUUUGUAUGGAUGCAAAGAUGAAAAUGUUCCAUUAAGGGGGCUGUGAUUCUAAUUGGUGGUAACACAUUUGAAUAUGUUAGAGUGCUUUAGGCUCUCUCUUAACUAAUUAUAUUAUUGUGAUUGUGUAUACGUUCGCAUGACAUGGUUACGAUUUUUUUUAAAAAAAUCGGAGUAUGCAUUCGCGCAACUUCGGCCAAACCUUUAUUAAUAAUAAUAAUAAUAAUAAAGCAUUAUUAGUUAUGGACACGUUCGCGUGACAUGAUUUUUGAAGCGCCAAACAAAUGGGUACACGUGCACGUGACCUGUUUAAAGAUAAUUUCUUAAUUAAAAGAGGCAAAUGCACAUAUGUUCUAAAAUGAGUAAUUAGACAAUUUGAUUAAGCCAAGUAUGAUCAAAGAGACCAUGCUAAAACCACAGAACUCGGGAAUGCCUAACACCUUCUCCCAGGUUAACAGAAUUCCUUACCCGAAUUUUUGUGUUCGCAGACCGUAAAUAGAGUCAAACUUCCUCGAUUCGGGAUUUUAAACCGGUGACUUGGGACACCAUAAAUUAUCCCAAGUGGCGACACUGAAUUUUAAAUAAAUAAUCCCAUUUUGAUUGUCACUUAAAUUUUAAAAACUCUCUUAUACCCUCUCGGGGUGUAGGAAAAAGGAGGUGUGACAGCUCUGGCGACUCCGCUGGGGAUAAGAACCCCAAACUUCUGGUUCAGGGUUCAAGAAUUCGAGCUUGUUAAUAUGAUCUAUGCUUGACUUUAUUGUUUGUAGAUAUUACUGUAUUUGUGGACCUAAUGUGCUAAUUGCUGUUUAUUUACCGCUUUCAUAUUACUUGAACUGUAUUAAACUGUCUUCUUACGCUACCCCUCUGAGUCUUCUGAAUGGUGCACACGUUUGCGUGAACCACUUUUUCUGUAGAAAUUAUACCAAAUAGAACGAGGCUGGGCCAACAACAAGGCCGGGUAGACUUUAGUGCUCCCGGUACGUUGCCCUCUCUUCGGCUCGAGUUGUCCGCUUGGGUAAGCCAGGUCAAGAACAUAACCCUAGGUUUUAACUUAGAAUAACACAACCUCAUGCCGGAUCCCUAGUAGGAACGUUUGUUUGCAUUACGUGUAUUUGACGUUGGGGACUCAACACAGGGUUUGGGUCCGUCUAGGACAGGUGUACCCAAAAUAACUGACCAUCUUGAUGCAUCCUAUGUGCUACAUGUUGCAUUUCUUCAACGGUAAAAUGGUCAUUUGGCGUAGUUGAGGGCAAAUGAAAAAAGAAAAAAAGGAAAAAAGGAAAAAAAGAGGGUAAAGUGUGAAAAUAAAGCAAGUAGGGCCCAAUUAUGUUUUUUGUCACAUUUUUCUUAAGAAAAAAAGAGAACUUGAAAAAUUCAAAAAAGAAAAAAAGAUUUUACACUUUAUCAUCAUUUUCCGAAAAUAAAAAAUAAAAAAAGAAAAGAAAAUCCAAAAAGAUUUUACAUGUGUCAUCAUUAUUAAAAAAAAGACAAAAAAUAUAUUUUUUCUAAAUUAGUUAUUUUUUUUAUUUCUUGCCCGUAUUCAAUCUGCCCGAACUAUGCACACCUGAUUCUCGUCUUUCGGAGCGAGAUACGUAGGCAACCCACAUAGGGUUCGGUCUUCCUAGUGAUUUUAGGUUUUUGGCUUCGCCGGGACCUAGCCGAAUCUUGCACUUUUAGCCAUAUAGGUUAAUUUUAGAAAAAUAGUUACAAUCAUGUCUUGCAUGUGUCCAAUAUGGAGUGUUAUUGUCUCACAUAGUGUUCUAGGUCUUUAACUUUAUUUGGUCUUAAUUUUCUCAUAUAGGUGUGGGUCUACUUACCAGAGUUUGAGCAUGACAGACGCCCCAAGCCCAUCCAGUCAGGAUCGCUCGUUCAAGAGUUGCUUAAGGAGA